RNAcentral lists this ribosomal RNA (774 nucleotides) under uncultured Neocallimastigales. Its description in RNAcentral is "partial large subunit ribosomal RNA". It matches the Rfam family "Eukaryotic large subunit ribosomal RNA", at positions 23 to 644 of the family's 3401-position model. Lineage: Eukaryota; Fungi; Neocallimastigomycota; Neocallimastigomycetes; Neocallimastigales. The record is from RNAcentral.
AGAGAGAGACAUGCGCGCAUAUCAAUAAGCGGAGGAAAAGAAACUAACAAGGAUUCCCUUAGUAACGGCGAGUGAAGCGGGAAGAGCUCAAAUUUGAAAUCUUCAAGGUUCUACCUUGACGAAUUGUAGUUUAUAGAAGUGUUUUCUGUUAGUGGAGUGGCAAAAGUUCUUUGGAAUAGGACAUCAUAGAGGGUGAGAAUCCCGUAUUUGGUCAUUCCUCCUAGCGUUGUGAUACACUUUCAACGAGUCGGAUUGUUUGGGAAUGCAGUCCAAAAUGGGUGGUAAAUUUCAUCUAAAGCUAAAUAUUGGCGAGAGACCGAUAGCGAACAAGUACCGUGAGGGAAAGAUGAAAAGAACUUUGAAAAGAGAGUUAAACAGUACGUGAAAUUGUCAAAAGGGAAGCGUUUGACACCAGUGUUGUUUUUCCGAAAAUCAAUUACGAAUGUUUUAUUUUUGAGGAGUUAUGACUUCAUCGGCUUGCUCCUUUCUUUAUGAAACUUUCUUAAUGCACUUUUCGGUUAACAAGUCAACAUCAAUUUCUUUUGUUGUAAAAGGGUAUGAGGAAGGUGGCUUUCUUUUCGGAGAAAGUGUUUAUAGCCUCGUGCCUCUGCAAUCGGAGAGAUUGAGGUCUGCAGCGUAGAUCCUUCGGGGUUAGAUACGUUUGUGCUAAGUUAUAGCUUUUCAUAGACAACUUGUUGACUAUAUUUAGUCUUGUAGCUUACUCGCUUAUGCUAUUUUACCUACGCUUAGGAUGUUGAUAGUCACAGCGUGUAC